This 300-nucleotide ribosomal RNA is filed under the name uncultured Gammaproteobacteria bacterium. Its description in RNAcentral is "16S ribosomal RNA". Lineage: Bacteria; Pseudomonadati; Pseudomonadota; Gammaproteobacteria. The record is from RNAcentral.
CUUAACGCGUUAGCUUCGCCACUAAGAGGUMAACCCUCCCAACGGCUAGUUGUCAUCGUGUUACUGGCGUGGACUACCAGGGUAUCUAAUCCUGUUUGCUAUCCCACGCUUUCGUACCUCAGUGUCAGUAUUAGUCCAGAAAGCUGCCUUCGCCAUUGAUGUUCCUUCUGAUAUCUACGACAUUUCACCGCUACACCAGAAAUUCCACUUCUCCUCUCCUAUACUCUAGGUMGUCRGUGUUCAAAUUGCAGUUCCCAGGGUUGAGCACCGCGGGGUUUCACAUUCUGACUUAAAAGAACC